Molecule: long non-coding RNA, 2881 nt
Organism: Canis lupus familiaris (dog)
Lineage: Eukaryota; Metazoa; Chordata; Mammalia; Carnivora; Canidae
Exons: 2
Source: RefSeq, a predicted model, not a curated record
CCGCUGCCGGCCCCCAGCCCGGCCCCCCCACAGUAGAGGUUGAGUCCGAUUACUGCGUUUCUCUUGAGGCCGAACAUCGCAAGCUCCUGCCGCCGCCGCCGCCGCCGCCGCCGCCGCCUCCUGAGUGAGAAAAAUGGGGAUGGCCCCGACUCCUCAGUUGAAGGAAGCGGAAUCACAGAGAGACAGGCAGAGACACAGGCAGAAGCAGGCUCCAUGCACCGGGAGCCCGACGUGGGAUUGGAUCCCGGGUCUCCAGGAUCGCGCCCUGGGUCAAAGGCAGGAGCCAAACCACUGCGCCACCCAGGGAUCCCAGCACUAACCAUUUGAGAUGGAAUAUAUGCUCUAUAGGGGGCGUCAACAAUUUUUUUAAAUAAAGAUUUUAUUUAUUCAUGAGAGACACAGGCAGAGACAUAGGCAGAGGGAGAAACAGGCUCCCUGUGGGGAGCCCGGUGCGGGACUUGAUCCCAGGAUCCCAGGAUCACGCCCUGAGGUGAAGGGCCUACGCCAGCCCCUUGAGCCACCCAGGUGCCCCAACAAUUUAUUUUUGGAAUUGAGAGGCUGGAAAAAUCACUGGGCUAGGAGAGCUAGAGGACCUUAUGGAAGAAGUAGCUUUUUUAGUGAGCUUUCUAGAAUGCAAUUUUUUUUUUCUUGAACGCAAUUUUAUCAGACAAGAGGAGAGAGAUUGAAGAAACAGCAAGUACAAACACUUUUUAAGAGGCUGAAAAAGGAAAUGCAUUGCCAGAAAUCUCAUGUGCUCAGCAUCCCUAUUGCAUUUCUUUGGUCAAUUCACUCUCUUAUGGUCCAAGAUGACUAUUGCAUGACUUCUCUCGUCCCUAAACCUCCAGUGUUCCCUCCUGUCUUCCUCAUUCUCAGCUGUUUAACUUACUUUACUGAGAAAAUGGAAGCAAUCAGAAGAGAAAAACUUCAUUUCUCUCCACCAAAUCUAGUAUGACUCCUUAUAUUCCCAUUCUUUUUGUGUGGUUAAACUAAAUGAACCUUCCCUGCUACCUCAGAUCAGCCUCUUGUGCAUUGGAUCUCACUUCUUUGCCUCGAGUAUUUACAGUUAUCCCUUUACAUUUUUGUUUUUGUCUUUUAAGAUUUUAUUUAUUUUUAGAGACAGUGCAUGUGUGUGAGCAGGGAGAGGGGCAGAGGGAGAAGGAGAGAGAAUCUGAAGCAGAGUUCACGCUGAGUACACAGUCCAACGCAGGGCUUGAUUUCACUACCUUGAGAUCAUGACCUGAGCCAAAACCAAGACUGGACGCCUAACAGACUGAGCCAUCCAGUUGGCGCCCCAUCCCUUUAUAUUCUUGCAUCAGUUUCUCUCUGUUGAAUCAUUCCCACCGGCAUAUAAACCUGAUGUUCUCUCUCACAUCCUCAAGAAGACUUCCCUAGAACCUAAAUUCUUUGAUUCUCUCCUUUAUAGCAAACAUCUUUAAUCUCCUUACCAGCUUUCUCUCUUGAACCCAUCCCAAUCAAGCCUUCAUUCUCACUAUUCCACUGAAAUAAUUCUUGUCAUGUCAUCAAUGAUUUCCACAUGGCCAAAUUCUUGGGGUCAAUUUGCAAUCCUCAUUUUAUUUGACAUCUCACAUUAUUUGAUGUGGUUGAUCAUUCCCUUCUUGGAACUAUUUAUGUGCUUUUUAGGACACCACACUCUCCUGGUUUUCCUUUUUCCACCCUGGCUACUCUUCAGUUUUACUUGUCUCUUCCACUGGCUGUCCACUUGAUGGGGACACUUACUGUGUUUCCCUUUGUAACCGUAGCGGUGCCUAGACAUUCCAUUGUUGAAUGGAUGAAUCUGAAUGUUUACUAAUUUGGGAUAUAUAAGGCUAGAAAAGUGGGACAGGGUGAUAUUAUUGAGGGCUUUGAAAGCCAAAGUUUUGAACUUUGAACAAAGAAAAGUUUAUCUUUUCUAGGCAGCUGGAAUCCACUGAGCACUAGAGUACUGUGAUAUAUGUUCUGAUUUAGGUUCAAUAUUCUAAUUGUGGGUUUUAGAAUGGAUUGAGGGAGAGGAUUGGAAGCAGAAAAAUUAGGAGGUACUACAAUAUGAUAGGCAAGAAUUACAGUGAUCUGUGCUUAGGUGAUGGUAGACUAAUGGAAAGGAUGACACAUAGAGACACUGGAGGCAGAGUCUAAUAGUGCUUAGUGACUAAGAGAAUGACAGAACAGUGUGUGACAUUAUCAUAAUGUAGGCAUCUAUAUUACACAAUAUGAACAGGUAGACCACAUUCCAGACUCCUGUGGACUGCCCUCAUGAACCACUAAACUCACCAGUAAGGGGAAGGGUCUGUUCAGUUUAGAGGCAAGGAGUCAGCAUAUCUUUAGGAUAUCUUGGAGGUCCUGUCCUCAGGGAAUCUGAAUUCACUUAGGACUUCUGAUCCCGAGUAUUGUUCAGUCAGAGUAACCUCUGAAUUUGUGUACACACCCUAUCAAGAAUGGUUCCUGUUCUUUUUCUUUUUUUAUUUAAGAUUUAUUUAUUUAUUCAUGAGAGACAUAGGCAGAGGGAGAAGCAGGCUCCCUGCAGGGAGUCUGAUGUGGGACUGGAUCCCAGGACCCCAGGAUCAUGACCUGAGCCAAAGGCACAUGCUCAACUACUGAGCCACCCAGGCACCCCAAGAAUGGUUCUUGUUCUUAGGAUAACUAUUUUGGCCACAGUCCUGACCCUCAAAAGAAAGGCAUUGUUGACAUCCUGACUGUGCCAAUCUUUUUUUUUUAGGCAUGUAUUAAAUCCUUUGAAACUUCCCCAAUCUGUGAGCACAUUUCCUCCUCAAAAUGUGCCUUUGUUUCAGGGAAUUCAUUUACAUCAUUUCUUUUAAAAUAGAAAAAAAAAAAAAAAACAACUAGGUCUCAGCUUUGGAACUAAGAUGUAUUCUUUUGUUGUUGU